UCGAAACCUGCACAGCAGAUUGACUAGCGAACAUGUUUAACAUGCAUGGGGUGGGGGAUGACUUGACCUGUUGAGUUUCCCCUUCCCCCAUGGCUUGGGGGAUUUGCCUUCGGUGAGUCCCUUGAGCACAAUAACGAACCCCGGCACUUCGAGUGCCAAGGAACAUCAAUACAUUGUGCGCUUGCUCCUUGCUCGGUUCUCCGAUUAUAGGAYGCGGCGUGUCAAGUUUAAUACUAAAACGACUCUCGGCAACGGAUAUCUCGGCUCUCGCAUCGAUGAAGAACGUAGCGAAAUGCGAUACUUGGUGUGAAUUGCAGAAUCCCGUGAACCAUCGAGUCUUUGAACGCAAGUUGCGCCCGAAACCUUCUGGUCGAGGGCACGUCUGCCUGGGCGUCACGCAUCGCGUCUCCCCCUACUGCGGCAAUUGGUGGUGGACAAGGCGUAUGCCUCGAAUGCAAUCUUGUGUCGUGUAGUGCAUAGCAAUUGUGGGCUCGUAGGACCCUUAGUUGUUCCCAUUGGGAAACAAACCG
This 530-nucleotide ribosomal RNA is filed under the name Camphorosma monspeliaca subsp. lessingii. Its description in RNAcentral is "eukaryotic LSU rRNA". The stretch from base 241 to 396 matches the Rfam family "5.8S ribosomal RNA". The record is from RNAcentral. Lineage: Eukaryota; Viridiplantae; Streptophyta; Magnoliopsida; Caryophyllales; Amaranthaceae.